UGGUUCCGUUGAUCAACGGUGCCGAUCGAACCCUGCGGUGGUUCGUCGAGGACGUCUGGGCCCAUUUCGGUGACGGGUGGGAUCAGCC
This 88-nucleotide transfer RNA is filed under the name Mycolicibacterium chlorophenolicum. RNAcentral describes it as "tRNA-Arg". RNAcentral also lists the same sequence under 1 other name. The record is from RNAcentral. Lineage: Bacteria; Bacillati; Actinomycetota; Actinomycetes; Mycobacteriales; Mycobacteriaceae.